RNAcentral lists this ribosomal RNA (497 nucleotides) under uncultured bacterium. RNAcentral describes it as "partial 16S ribosomal RNA". It matches the Rfam family "Bacterial small subunit ribosomal RNA", at positions 28 to 507 of the family's 1533-position model. The record is from RNAcentral.
GAUGAACGCUGGCGGCGUGCCUAAUACAUGCAAGUCGAGCGAACGGACGAGAAGCUUGCUUCUCAGAUGUUAGCGGCGGACGGGUGAGUAACACGUGGAUAACCUACCUAUAAGACUGGGGUAACUUCGGGAAACCGGAGCUAAUACCGGAUAAUAUUUUGAACCGCAUGGUUCAAAAGUGAAAGACGGUCUUGCUGUCACUUAUAGAUGGAUCCGCGCUGCAUUAGCUAGUUGGUAAGGUAACGGCUUACCAAGGCAACGAUGCAUAGCCGACCUGAGAGGGUGAUCGGCCACACUGGAACUGAGACACGGUCCAGACUCCUACGGGAGGCAGCAGUAGGGAAUCUUCCGCAAUGGGCGAAAGCCUGACGGAGCAACGCCGCGUGAGUGAUGAAGGUCUUCGGAUCGUAAAACUCUGUUAUUAGGGAAGAACAUAUGUGUAAGUAACUGUGCACAUCUUGACGGUACCUAAUCAGAAAGCCACGGCUAACUACGUG